This 514-nucleotide ribosomal RNA is filed under the name uncultured bacterium. RNAcentral describes it as "bacterial SSU rRNA". It matches the Rfam family "Bacterial small subunit ribosomal RNA", at positions 28 to 533 of the family's 1533-position model. The record is from RNAcentral.
GACGAACGCUGGCGGCGUGCCUAACACAUGCAAGUCGAACGGUAACAGGCCCUUCGGGGUGCUGACGAGUGGCGGACGGGUGAGUAAUGCGUGGGAAUCUACCUGGCAAUGGGGGAUAACCCGGGGAAACUCGGGCUAAUACCGCAUACGCCCCCAUGGGGGAAAGCGGGGGACCUUCGGGCCUCGCGUUGUCAGAUGAGCCCACGUCCGAUUAGCUAGUUGGUGGGGUAAUGGCCUACCAAGGCGACGAUCGGUAGCUGGUCUGAGAGGACGACCAGCCACACUGGGACUGAGACACGGCCCAGACUCCUGCGGGAGGCAGCAGUGGGGAAUUUUGGACAAUGGGCGAAAGCCUGAUCCAGCGAUGCCGCGUGGGUGAAGAAGGCCUGCGGGUUGUAAAGCCCUUUCGAUGGGAAAGAAAAGCCUGGAGCUAAUACCUCCGGGUCUUGUACGUUACCCAGAGAAGAAGCACCGGCUAACUCCGUGCCAGCAGCCCGCGGUAAACUGUAGUCGU